Molecule: non-coding RNA, 30 nt
Filed under: Mus musculus (house mouse)
Lineage: Eukaryota; Metazoa; Chordata; Mammalia; Rodentia; Muridae
Source: RNAcentral
UGAUACUGUGGCGUUGGUUUGCUUUGCCAG